AGACAUCGGGGCAGCGCGCUCCUCCUCCCAGCGCCCCCGAUGAGACCGGCAACACCUCCUCCUCCCGGUUGCCGAUCAGAAUAAGCAACGCCCGCUGGAUCUCCUCCCCCAGCGGGCGUUGUUU
This 124-nucleotide small RNA is filed under the name Pararhizobium antarcticum. RNAcentral's name for it is "Alphaproteobacterial ar14". It matches the Rfam family "Alphaproteobacterial ar14". From Rfam's summary of the family: Smr14C2 was renamed NfeR1 (Nodule Formation Efficiency RNA) highly expressed in salt stress and during the symbiotic interaction on legume roots. Lineage: Bacteria; Pseudomonadati; Pseudomonadota; Alphaproteobacteria; Hyphomicrobiales; Rhizobiaceae. The record is from Rfam by way of RNAcentral.